This 1268-nucleotide small RNA is filed under the name Rattus norvegicus (Norway rat). RNAcentral describes it as "uncharacterized LOC102554058". Lineage: Eukaryota; Metazoa; Chordata; Mammalia; Rodentia; Muridae. The record is from RNAcentral.
CUUCAGACACUUUAGACACGUUCUUUCUUGGCUGUGCCACCAUCACACAUCAACUCAUUCUAAAAGGAACUAACUGCAUUGCCUUUUGGAACAGAUUUUCAACCACAGAAGAGUUGGCUUUACCUCCUAAUGACUGUUCAUGGUAUACUCGCUAAAUCCCAGGUUUCAAAAGCAAACUUGAAUCCAGGGUCACCAAAAAUCCAAGAGAAAUGAGAGCAUCAAGUGGUCUCAGGAACCAUACAUGCAUGUGAAAUCUUCCUAUGACCACACCAUGAACUCCUAAUGACCCAGAAAGCCACUGAGAAGCAAAACCUGGAGUCAACAUUCCAUAAUCGUGAUAGACGCCAUUACUGGAUUGAGACAAAAAGUCUUGUGUGUUGCACGGUGCGCCUGUAUCAUCUACUCCUCCGUAUCUACUGCAAUGCCCUCCUCCUGCCAGAGGAAUUAUUUUCCAGUUGAUCAGCCACUUCAUACCAUCUAUUUUCAAACGGAUCCCAUCUCUUUCUUGUUUCUGAGAAUUUCCAUCACACCUCUGCCGAAGCGUGUUCUCAGCUGAUUUUCGUGGCGGGAAUGUAGUCUCUCUGGGACAUCCUGAUCCUUCCUUCUGAUGGUCUCCUUCCAUAGCUUGUGAACUUUUCUCUUUGGGUUUUUCUUGAGGGAAGGCUGGGGCACACUCUGAGCUAUGGACGCCCUCCUUCAGGCACAGGGCACACUCUGAGCUAUGGACGCCCUCCUUCAGGCACACCCGUUGAGUGUUUGCAGCUAUGGCUUGGUGGGUCCCAUUGUACUUAUUACCUAGUCAAUAGCUCAGGUCUCCACUGCUCCACUCAGCCAUGGUCUUCCCGGUAAACCUGAUUCCACCACAGGCCAGAGCAAUCAGUCAACUUUAAGGAGGGGUGAGGGAGGGAUGGCAUUUCAUCUUAUGCUUGAUAAAUCCAUCAGCACAGGAAGUCAAGGCAGGGACCUGAAGGCAAGAUCUAAAGCAGAGACCAGCUUGCCUUGCAGCCAAUUCUCUGCCAGAACUACACAAUCUGCCUUCUGACAAACAGUUUGAAAUCAUUUAAAGUUUCCAUCCUAGCCAGGCAUGGUGAUUCACGCUGAUAAGCCUUACACUAAAGCUGGGGUAAGAGGAUCACCCCAGGUGAUUCAAGGCCAGGUAGGUACACAGGGUGAGUUUGGGAUCAACUAGGGCUGCAGGGUGAGCUACUGUUUAAAAUAACAAUGAAACAAAUAAAGAUACAAAUGUAUGCAGAAGUGAAAGGAGGGAA